This 253-nucleotide ribosomal RNA is filed under the name uncultured bacterium. RNAcentral describes it as "partial 16S ribosomal RNA". It matches the Rfam family "Bacterial small subunit ribosomal RNA", at positions 524 to 776 of the family's 1533-position model. The record is from RNAcentral.
UACAGAGGUCUCAAGCGUUGUUCGGAUUCAUUGCGCGUAAAGGGUGUGUAGGUGGCGCCGUAAGUCGGGUGUGAAAUUUCGGAGCUUAACUCCGAAACUGCAUUCGAUACUGCGGUGCUUGAGGACUGGAGAGGAGACUGGAAUUCAUGGUGUAGCAGUGAAAUGCGUAGAGAUCAUGAGGAAGACCAGUGGCGAAGGCGGGUCUCUGGACAGUUCCUGACACUGAGACACGAAGGCCAGGGGAGCAAACGGG